Cucurbita pepo subsp. pepo (vegetable marrow) is the source of this 153-nucleotide non-coding RNA. Lineage: Eukaryota; Viridiplantae; Streptophyta; Magnoliopsida; Cucurbitales; Cucurbitaceae. The record is from RefSeq and is a predicted model, not a curated record.
AAGGAUUGAUUUAUUUUUCGAAUCCAGUUUUGGAGGUCCUUGGGAUGUCGCGGGCGGUGCUGUUAUUGUCACAGAAGCUGGGGAGCUCGUGUUUGAUCCCUCUGGCAAGGAGUUUGACGUAACAUCUCAAAGGGUAGCAGCUUCCAACCCUCU